AUUGAACGCUGGCGGCAUGCCUUACACAUGCUAGUCGAACGGCAGCACGGGAGCAAUCCUGGUGGCGAGUGGCGAACGGGUGAGUAAUAUAUCGGAACGUGCCCAGUCGUGGGGGAUGACGCAGCGAAAGCUGUGCUAAUACCGCAUACGAUCUCUGGAUGAAAGCGGGGGACCGUAAGGCCUCGCGCGAUUGGAUCGGCCGAUAUCAGAUUAGCUAAUUGGGGGGGUAAAGGCCCACCAAGGCGACGAUCUGUAGCUGGUCUGAGAGGACGACCAGCCACACUGGAACUGAGACACGGUCCAGACUCCUACGGGAGGCAGCAGUGGGGAAUUUUGGACAAUGGGCGCAAGCCUGAUCCAGCAAUGCCGCGUGCAGGAUGAAGGCCUUCGGGUUGUAAACUGCUUUUGUACGAAACGAAACGGCGAGCUCUAAUAAAGUUUGCUAAUGACGGUACCGUAAGAAUAAGCACCGGCUAACUACGUGCCAGCCGCCGCCGUAA
This 500-nucleotide ribosomal RNA is filed under the name uncultured bacterium. Its description in RNAcentral is "partial 16S ribosomal RNA". It matches the Rfam family "Bacterial small subunit ribosomal RNA", at positions 30 to 523 of the family's 1533-position model. The record is from RNAcentral.